RNAcentral lists this ribosomal RNA (270 nucleotides) under uncultured archaeon. RNAcentral describes it as "partial 16S ribosomal RNA". It matches the Rfam family "Archaeal small subunit ribosomal RNA", at positions 477 to 747 of the family's 1478-position model. The record is from RNAcentral.
CAGCACCUCAAGUGGUCAGGAUGAUUAUUGGGCCUAAAGCAUCCGUAGCCGGCGCUGUAAGUUUUCGGUUAAAUCUGUACGCUCAACGUACAGGCUGCCGGGAAUACUGCAGCGCUAGGGAGUGGGAGAGGUAGACGGUACUCGGUAGGAAGGGGUAAAAUCCUUUGAUCUAUUGAUGACCACCUGUGGCGAAGGCGGUCUACCAGAACACGUCCGACGGUGAGGGAUGAAAGCUGGGGGAACAAACCGGAUUAGAUACCCGCGUAGUCC